GCUGGAUGCAGUGGUGUACGCCUGUAAUCCCAGCGACUCAGGAGGCUGAGGCAGGAGGAUUACAAGUUUGAGUCUAGUAAUUUAGCAAGGCCCUAAUAAGCAACUUAGCAAAAUCCUGUCUCAU
This 124-nucleotide small RNA is filed under the name Marmota monax (woodchuck). Lineage: Eukaryota; Metazoa; Chordata; Mammalia; Rodentia; Sciuridae. The record is from RNAcentral.